AACUUAGCAGGGCUUCUUUGGGGUAGACACCCGGUGUCUUUAAAUGUCGUCGCACGUCUCGGAGGGCCUUUCUAGUACCUCGACCGAUCGAAUCGUAUCCCGCUUCGUUCGGACGCAGCCUCGCGGCGUCCGCUGUCGCGUGAGGGCGCCCGAUGGAAGGCUAACGUGAACGCGUCGGUACGCUCGGGGCGAGUCGUUCGGUCGUACGCGGAACGAAAGGAGUUUUCUUUCCGAGACUGCCACCCGGCCCCGUUUGUCUUUUUUUCGUCAACGUGCUUGCGACUGUAACGUAUCGAGAAAAAGGAAAAACGAGAGACAACUUUUAACGGUGGAUCUCUUGGCUCGUGCAUCGAUGAAGAACGCAGCCAGCUGCGAUAAGUAGUGUGAAUUGCAGAAUUCAGUGAAUCAUCGAAUCUUUGAACGCAAAUGGCGCUCUCGGGUUCUCCCGGGAGCACGUCCGUCUGAGUGUCGGCAUACCUUGCCAUCGCGCGAGAAGACCGCGCGGCGUUGAGGUGUCGCGGCGGCCGGCCGCGUCCCUCGAAAUGCAGGAGAACCGCUGGUUAGUGAUCCCCGGAGGCCGAAGAGACGUUGGUUCCCCGGAAUCCGCAGCCGGCUCGGUUCGACAAUAGUGACCCCAUAUCUAUUCUCGACCUCA
Molecule: ribosomal RNA, 655 nt
Filed under: Palythoa sp. 'sakurajimensis' type B
Lineage: Eukaryota; Metazoa; Cnidaria; Anthozoa; Zoantharia; Sphenopidae
Description: eukaryotic LSU rRNA
Rfam family: 5.8S ribosomal RNA (bases 318-471)
Source: RNAcentral